RNAcentral lists this ribosomal RNA (425 nucleotides) under uncultured bacterium. RNAcentral describes it as "partial 16S ribosomal RNA". It matches the Rfam family "Bacterial small subunit ribosomal RNA", at positions 354 to 796 of the family's 1533-position model. The record is from RNAcentral.
GUUAGGAAUAUUGGACAAUGGGCGCAAGCCUGAUCCAGCCAUGCCGCGUGAGUGAUGAAGGCCUUCGGGUUGUAAAGCUCUUUAGUCCACGAAUAUAAUGACUGUAGUGGAAGAAUAAGCCCCGGCUAACUUCGUGCCAGCAGCCGCGGUAAUACGAAGGGGGCGAGCGGUAUUCGGAAUCAGUGGGCGUAAAGCGUGCGUAGGCUGUUUUGUAAGUCAGAAGUGAAAGCCCAGGGCUUAACCCUGGAAUUGCGUUUGAAACUACAAGACUCGAAUUCGGGAGAGGAUAGCGGAAUUGUCAGUGUAGCAGUGAAAUGCGUAGAUAUUGACAGGAACACCAGUGGCGCAAGCGGCUAUCUGGACCGAUAUUGACGCUGAGGCACGAAAGCGUGGGGAGCAAACAGGAUUAGAUACCCGAGUAGUCC